Molecule: ribosomal RNA, 322 nt
Filed under: uncultured eukaryote
Lineage: Eukaryota
Description: partial 18S ribosomal RNA
Rfam family: Eukaryotic small subunit ribosomal RNA
Source: RNAcentral
CCCUUAGAUGUUCUGGGCCGCACGCGCGCUACACUGAUGCAUUCAUCGAGUUUACAACCUUGAUCGAUAGGUCUGGGUAAUCUUUUAAAUGUGCAUCGUGCUAGGGAUAGAUUAUUGCAAUUAUUAAUCUUGAACGAGGAAUUCCUAGUAAACGCAAGUCAUCAGCUUGCAUUGAUUACGUCCCUGCCCUUUGUACACACCGCCCGUCGCACCUACCGAUUGAAUGGUCCGGUGAAAUCUCGGGACGGCGGCUUGGUCGCUUGCGUCCGACUGCUGAAACUUGAUUAAACCAUAUCAUUUAGAGGAAGGUGAAGUCGUAACA